UGCAGUCGACGAGAAGUACCUUCGGGUACGAGUAAAGUGGCGAACGGGUGAGUAACGCGUUGGUGAUCUGCCCCGAAGUGGGGGAUAACAACUUGAAAGAGUUGCUAAUACCCCAUGUGGUCAUGAGAUUUAGAAACUCAUGUCUAAAGGAUUUAUUCGCUUCGGGAGGAGCCUGCGUCCCAUCAGCUAGUUGGUAAGGUAAUGGCUUACCAAGGCUACGACGGGUAGGGGACCUGAGAGGGUGGCCCCCCACAAUGGCACUGAAAUACGGGCCAUACAUCUACGGAUGGCAGCAGUAGGGAAUAUUGCCCAAUGGACGAAAGUCUGAGGCAGCAACGCCGCGUGAGCGAUGAAGGUCUUCGGAUUGUAAAGCUCUUUUACGUGGGAAGACGAAGGACGGUACCACGUGAAUAAGGAUCGGCUAACUACGUGCCAGCAGCCGCGGUAAUACG
This 452-nucleotide ribosomal RNA is filed under the name uncultured organism. RNAcentral describes it as "bacterial SSU rRNA". It matches the Rfam family "Bacterial small subunit ribosomal RNA", at positions 56 to 527 of the family's 1533-position model. The record is from RNAcentral.